GUAACCUCAGUGCAGAUGGACCUGUUGCCCAGCCCGCCUAGUGCUGCUAAAUCCACCGGCUCAAGGCCUCACUCGACCUGGGCUUUGCAAACUCCAGCCCGUUCUCCUUCCACCAAUCCCCGACGCUGGUCUCCAAGAAGGCCGACUCGAGCUUAGGAUGAAGACACUGGCACUCGUGGAGAUAAGUCUGGCUCCUCCAUCUGCCCAUCAUGGAUUGAGUCUUGGAAUGCAAACCCCAGACCCUGAAGGCAGCCCUCUUGGCCUGCUCCCAUCAAGCCUCCUGGAACCCUCUCUGAAAGGGGCGAUGACACCCUACCCUAACACCACCACUUAAUGUCAUCUCCAUCUGAAGGCCAAAUGGAGCAGGGGCACCCAGAUGACAGCACACUGAAGUAAGAAGGUCGCCGCGUGGGGACGGGGUAGGCUCAAGUUCACUGCCCUCGUUUGCCCCCUUGGCUCUUUUCUUUCUUGUAAAUAAAAUGGUUUUGAGUAGA
Molecule: long non-coding RNA, 494 nt
Organism: Saimiri boliviensis boliviensis (Bolivian squirrel monkey)
Lineage: Eukaryota; Metazoa; Chordata; Mammalia; Primates; Cebidae
Source: RefSeq, a predicted model, not a curated record